RNAcentral lists this ribosomal RNA (1335 nucleotides) under uncultured bacterium. RNAcentral's name for it is "partial 16S ribosomal RNA". It matches the Rfam family "Bacterial small subunit ribosomal RNA", at positions 50 to 1381 of the family's 1533-position model. The record is from RNAcentral.
AACACAUGCAAGUCGAGGGGCAUCACGAGGUAGCAAUACUUUGGUGGCGACCGGCAGACGGGUGAGUAACGCGUAUGCAACCUACCCUGUACAGGGGGAUANNNNNNNNNNNNNNNNNNNNNNNNNNNNNNNNNNNNNNNNNAGGCAUCUAUAGAAAUUUAAAGCUCCGGCGGUUACAGAUGGGCAUGCGUGACAUUAGCUAGUUGGUAAGGUAACGGCUUACCAAGGCUACGAUGUCUAGGGGUUCUGAGAGGAUUACCCCCCACACUGGUACUGAGACACGGACCAGACUCCUACGGGAGGCAGCAGUGAGGAAUAUUGGUCAAUGGGCGCAAGCCUGAACCAGCCAUCCCGCGUGCAGGAUGACGGCCCUAUGGGUUGUAAACUGCUUUUAUACACCAAGAAAAAUCCCCACGUGUGGGGAACCGACGGUAAGUGUAUGAAUAAGCAUCGGCUAACUCCGUGCCAGCAGCCGCGGUAAUACGGAGGAUGCAAGCGUUAUCCGGAUUCAUUGGGUUUAAAGGGUGCGCAGGUGGGAAAAUAAGUCAGUGGUGAAAUACUGCCGCUUAACGGUAGAAUUGCCAUUGAUACUGUAUAGCUGGAAUAUGGUUGCUGUGAGUGGAAUGUGUGGUGUAGCGGUGAAAUGCAUAGAGAUCACACAGAAUAUCGAUUGCGAAGGCAACUCACAAAGCCAUUAUUGACGCUGAUGCACGAAAGUGUGGGGAUCAAACAGGAUUAGAUACCCUGGUAGUCCACACUGUAAACGAUGAUAACUAGCUGUCGGCGAUACACAGUCGGUGGCCAAGCGAAAGCGAUAAGUUAUCCACCUGGGGAGUACGACCGCAAGGUUGAAACUCAAAGGAAUUGACGGGGGCCCGCACAAGCGGAGGAACAUGUGGUUUAAUUCGAUGAUACGCGAGGAACCUUACCCGGGCUCGAACGGUGCAGGAAUAUUUCAGAGAUGGAUUAGUCCUUCGGGACAUGUAUCGAGGUGCUGCAUGGUUGUCGUCAGCUCGUGCCGUGAGGUGUCGGCUUAAGUGCCAUAACGAGCGCAACCCUUGUCGUUAGUUACCAUCAAGUAAUGUUGGGGACUCUAGCGAGACUGCCACCGUAAGGUGUGAGGAAGGGGGGGAUGACGUCAAAUCAUCAUGCCCCUUAUGGCCUGGGCUACACACGUGUUACAAUGGUAGGUACAGAGGGCCGCUAUCCAGCGAUGGAAUGCUAAUCUCUAAAGUCGGUCCCAGUUCGGAUUGGAGUCUGCAACCCGACUCCAUGAAGUUGGAUUCGCUAGUAAUCGCGCAUCAGCCAUGGCGCGGUGAAUACGUUCCCGGGCCU